This 433-nucleotide ribosomal RNA is filed under the name uncultured bacterium. RNAcentral's name for it is "partial 16S ribosomal RNA". It matches the Rfam family "Bacterial small subunit ribosomal RNA", at positions 29 to 507 of the family's 1533-position model. The record is from RNAcentral.
AGCGAACGCUGGCGGCAGGCCUAACACAUGCAAGUCGAACGAACUCUUCGGAGUUAGUGGCGGACGGGUGAGUAACACGUGGGAACGUGCCUUUUGGUUCGGAAUAACUCAGGGAAACUUGUGCUAAUACCGAAUGUGCCCUUCGGGGGAAAGAUUUAUCGCCAUUAGAGCGGCCCGCGUCUGAUUAGCUAGUUGGUGAGGUAACGGCUCACCAAGGCGACGAUCAGUAGCUGGUCUGAGAGGAUAACCAGCCACACUGGGACUGAGACACGGCCCAGACUCCUACGGGAGGCAGCAGUGGGGAAUCUUGCGCAAUGGGCGAAAGCCUGACGCAGCCAUGCCGCGUGAAUGAUGAAGGUCUUAGGAUUGUAAAAUUCUUUCACCGGGGACGAUAAUGACGGUACCCGGAGAAGAAGCCCCGGCUAACUUCGUG